GGCGCUGUGGUUUCGUUGGUAAAAGCGCCUGUCUAGUAAACAGGAGAUCCUGAGUUCAAAUCACAGCAGUGCCU
This 74-nucleotide transfer RNA is filed under the name Dallia pectoralis (Alaska blackfish). RNAcentral's name for it is "tRNA-OTHER". It matches the Rfam family "tRNA". From Rfam's summary of the family: Transfer RNA (tRNA) molecules are approximately 80 nucleotides in length. Their secondary structure includes four short double-helical elements and three loops (D, anti-codon, and T loops). The record is from RNAcentral. Lineage: Eukaryota; Metazoa; Chordata; Actinopteri; Esociformes; Umbridae.